UACGAAGGGGGCUAGCGUUGUUCGGAAUUACUGGGCGUAAAGCGUGCGCAGGCGGCUCUCAAGUCAGGGGUGAAAGCCCAGAGCUCAACUCUGGAAUUGCCUUUGAGACUGAGUGGCUUGAGUACGAGAGAGGUGAGUGGAAUUCCCAGUGUAGAGGUGAAAUUCGUAGAUAUUGGGAAGAACACCGGUGGCGAAGGCGGCUCACUGGCUCGUAACUGACGCUC
Molecule: ribosomal RNA, 224 nt
Filed under: uncultured bacterium
Lineage: Bacteria
Description: partial 16S ribosomal RNA
Rfam family: Bacterial small subunit ribosomal RNA
Source: RNAcentral